RNAcentral lists this ribosomal RNA (517 nucleotides) under Schistosoma japonicum. RNAcentral describes it as "partial small subunit ribosomal RNA". Lineage: Eukaryota; Metazoa; Platyhelminthes; Trematoda; Strigeidida; Schistosomatidae. The record is from RNAcentral.
UAUACAAUUUAACCCUGGUUGAAGUUGAAAUAUAUCUAAUGAUGCUAUAUACGUUUAUUAUAUUAUGCUAAUCCUUGAGCAUAUAAAUUUGAGGUGGUUGUAGUAGUGAGAUCUAUCGUUAUAAAGAAAUUUAGUGAUGGUUGUUAGAUAGUAGAAGAGGCUAAAGCACAGUGCCAGCAGCCGCGGUUAUACUGUAAUUCUUCUUAUUUCUUUUUUGGUUAAAACUUUUAUUGAAAUUUAAAUAAAAUUGGUUGGUUAAAUAGGUUUUUUUUUGAGAAUACUUCAAUGAUGUGUAAAGUUCCAGUAUAAAGACAGGGAUUAGAUACCCCUUUAUUAGGAUAAAAAAUUUUUGUCCACGGUUUCAAACUGAAAGGGUUUGGCAGCAAACUAAAUUCUUCCGGGGGAAGGUGCUUAUUAAAGAGAUGAUCCGCUUAUUAAUUUACUAUAUCUAGUGUUAGUGUAUAUCCGUUUGUAUAUUCACGCUUAGAGGUCAUAAGUGGGUAAAUAUUAAAUAAUU